This 447-nucleotide ribosomal RNA is filed under the name uncultured bacterium. RNAcentral's name for it is "bacterial SSU rRNA". It matches the Rfam family "Bacterial small subunit ribosomal RNA", at positions 355 to 825 of the family's 1533-position model. The record is from RNAcentral.
UCGGGAAUUUUGGGCAAUGGGCGAAAGCCUGACCCAGCAACGCCGCGUGAAGGAUGAAGUAUUUCGGUAUGUAAACUUCGUAAGAAUAGGAAGAAUAAAUGACGGUACUAUUUGUAAGGUCCGGCUAACUACGUGCCAGCAGCCGCGGUAAUACGAAGGGAGCUAGCGUUGUUCGGAAUCACUGGGCGUAAAGCGCACGUAGGCGGAUAGUUAAGUCAGGGGUGAAAUCCUGGGGCUCAACCCCAGAACUGCCUUUGAUACUGGCUGUCUCGAGGUCGAGAGAGGUUGGUGGAAUUCCUAGUGUAGAGGUGAAAUUCGUAGAUAUUAGGAAGAACACCAGUGGCGAAGGCGGCCAACUGGCUCGAUACUGACGCUGAGGCGCGAAAGCUAGGGUAGCAAACGGGAUUAGAUACCCAUGUAGUCCCUGAGCGGGCUGGCAAGGCGCAU